This 282-nucleotide long non-coding RNA is filed under the name Vigna radiata. RNAcentral describes it as "long non-coding RNA (VRAD_LNC010413)". Lineage: Eukaryota; Viridiplantae; Streptophyta; Magnoliopsida; Fabales; Fabaceae. The record is from RNAcentral.
AAAGAAGAAGCUAAAGAAUGAAACUCAGAGAAGAGGAAAAUGAGAAAGAAUGAAGUUGGUGUGUUUGGGAAUGGGAAAGAGCUCUCUAUUUAUACAGCUAGGAAAGAAUCAAUUAAAUAAAAGAAAUUAAAAAAAAUAAAUGAUUUAAUUAAAAUUUGAACGUUGAAUAAAAAAAAAUGUUGCAUUGAAUGUUGCCCCAAAGUGACGUUUUUCUCAACGUAUAACAUUCAACGUUGCAAUAGUUUCUUUUGCAAUAAAGCAACAUUAUUACAACAAUCCCCC